GGGUAGCACCGGGUUCGAUUGCCGGUGCGCGGAAGGGUAAGCACGCAGAGGAACGAGUGGCCUCUAUAAAACAUUCGGCUUAAAUUUAAAUGCAGACAAUGCAGAUUACAGCUCGAACAACCAGUUCGCGCUUGCCGCUUAAUCAGUUUUAAGCGGUUCGUCCGUACCUCUUUCCCGUCGGGAGAAUACGGGCGUCAUUGAAGGCGGGGAACUGCCGUUUUGAAGUGAAGUCGGCAAAACGGCCGAAUUAAGAUUUCUGCUGAUGCGCGCUUUCGGUCGCAGAGGGGCGCGUCAUAAGAUAAUUGCGGCAUAAGCGUGUAGAAAGCCUUUUGGCAAUCCGGUAAGACGCGAGUUCAAUUCUCGCCUACUCCACCA
This 375-nucleotide transfer-messenger RNA is filed under the name chicken gut metagenome. It matches the Rfam family "transfer-messenger RNA". From Rfam's summary of the family: Bacterial tmRNA, also known as 10Sa RNA or SsrA, is named for its dual tRNA and mRNA-like properties. Its role is to liberate the mRNA from a stalled ribosome. The record is from RNAcentral.